AUUGAACGCUGGCGGCAGGCCUAACACAUGCAAGUCGAGCGGGGUUUUCGGACCUAGCGGCGGACGGGUGAGUAAUGCGUAGGAAGCUGCCCGAUAGAGGGGGAUACCAGUUGGAAACGACUGUUAAUACCGCAUAAUGUCUACGGACCAAAGUGUGGGACCUUCGGGCCACAUGCUAUCGGAUGCGCCUACGUGGGAUUAGCUAGUUGGUGAGGUAAUGGCUCACCAAGGCGACGAUCUCUAGCUGGUUUGAGAGGAUGAUCAGCCACACUGGAACUGAGACACGGGCCAGACUCCUACGGGAGGCAGCAGUGGGGAAUAUUGGACAAUGGGCGCAAGCCUGAUCCAGCCAUGCCGCGUGUGUGAAGAGGGCCUUCGGGUUGUAAAGCACUUUCAGCGAGGAGGAAGGGUGGUGUGUUAAUAGCACAUCAUUUUGACGUUACUCGCAGAAGAAGCACCGGCUAACUCUGUGCCAGCCGCCGCGGUAA
RNAcentral lists this ribosomal RNA (488 nucleotides) under uncultured bacterium. RNAcentral describes it as "partial 16S ribosomal RNA". It matches the Rfam family "Bacterial small subunit ribosomal RNA", at positions 30 to 523 of the family's 1533-position model. The record is from RNAcentral.